Molecule: small RNA, 579 nt
Filed under: Pan troglodytes (chimpanzee)
Lineage: Eukaryota; Metazoa; Chordata; Mammalia; Primates; Hominidae
Description: retained intron
Source: RNAcentral
ACUUUGUUCCCUCCGCGGAGGGGACUCCGCAACUCGCAGCGGCAGGGUCUGGAGCCGGCGCCUGGGAGGGAUUUGCGCCCCCUACUCUCUCCCUAGCUGUGUUCCCGCCGCCGCCCCGGCUGGUCUCCGGCGCUGGCGCCUAUGGUCGGCCUCCGACAGCGCUCCGGAGGGACCGGGGGAGCUCCCAGGCGCCCGGGACUGGAGACUGAUGCAUGAGGGGGCUACGGAGGCGCAGGAGCGGUGGUGAUGGUCUGGGAAGCGGAGCUGAAGUGCCCUGGGCUUUGGUGAGGCGUGACAGUUUAUCAUGACCGUGUUCAGGCAGGAAAACGUGGAUGAUUACUACGACACCGGCGAGGAACUUGGCAGGUAAAGGGGGUGCCAGAAGCGUACCCUCCUGGAUUGUGGAAAUGCAUAACGAUGGGGCCAUUGGGUGGUAAACAAAUGCAGUUUGAAUCAGGCGUCUCCCUCGCCCUUUCUGGAGAUGCGCAAAUCAUAGAGAAAAGAGUUACUAACCCAGCGGUAAACCGCCUGGUCCAAGGGCCUGGGGGUGGAGGAGAGGCAGCAGUUCAGGGCUAGAUU